ACGAACGCUGGCGGCAUGCCUAACACAUGCCAGUCGAACGAGACCUUCGGGUCUAGUGGCGCACGGGUGCGUAACGCGUGGGAACCUGCCCUUAGGUUCGGAAUAACUCCCCGAAAGGGGUGCUAAUACCGGAUAAUGUCUUCGGACCAAAGAUUUAUCGCCUUUGGAUGGGCCCGCGUUGGAUUAGCUAGUUGGUAGGGUAAAAGCCUACCAAGGCGACGAUCCAUAGCUGGUCUGAGAGGAUGAUCAGCCACACUGGGACUGAGACACGGCCCAGACUCCUACGGGAGGCAGCAGUGGGGAAUAUUGGACAAGGGGCGAAAGCCUGAUCCAGCAAUGCCGCGUGAGUGAUGAAGGCCUUAGGGUUGUAAAGCUCUUUUACCCGGGAUGAUAAUGACAGUACCGGGAGAAUAAGCUCCGGCUAACUCCGUG
RNAcentral lists this ribosomal RNA (432 nucleotides) under uncultured bacterium. RNAcentral's name for it is "partial 16S ribosomal RNA". It matches the Rfam family "Bacterial small subunit ribosomal RNA", at positions 29 to 507 of the family's 1533-position model. The record is from RNAcentral.